RNAcentral lists this ribosomal RNA (253 nucleotides) under uncultured bacterium. Its description in RNAcentral is "partial 16S ribosomal RNA". It matches the Rfam family "Bacterial small subunit ribosomal RNA", at positions 524 to 776 of the family's 1533-position model. The record is from RNAcentral.
UACGGAGGGUGCAAGCGUUAUCCGGAUUCACUGGGUUUAAAGGGUGCGUAGUUGGGCAAGUAAGUCAGUGGUGAAAUCUCCGGGCUUAACCCGGAAACUGCCAUUGAUACUAUUUGUCUUGAAUACUGUGGAGGUCAGCGGAAUAUGUCAUGUAGCGGUGAAAUGCUUAGAUAUGACAUAGAACACCAAUUGCGAAGGCAGCUGGCUACACAAAUAUUGACACUGAGGCACGAAAGCGUGGGGAUCAAACAGG